GCUAGUAAUCGCGGAUCAGCAAGCCGCGGUGAAUACGUUCCCGGGCCUUGUACACACCGCCCGUCACACCAUGAGAGUCGGGAACACCCGAAGUCCGUAGUCUAACCGCAAGGGGGCGCGGCCGAAGGUGGGUCCGGUAAUUGGGGUGAAGUCGUAACAAGGUACC
RNAcentral lists this ribosomal RNA (166 nucleotides) under uncultured bacterium. RNAcentral describes it as "partial 16S ribosomal RNA". It matches the Rfam family "Bacterial small subunit ribosomal RNA", at positions 1334 to 1500 of the family's 1533-position model. The record is from RNAcentral.